Molecule: transfer RNA, 71 nt
Filed under: Esox niger (chain pickerel)
Lineage: Eukaryota; Metazoa; Chordata; Actinopteri; Esociformes; Esocidae
Also listed under: 2 other names
Description: tRNA-Ser
Rfam family: tRNA
About the family: Transfer RNA (tRNA) molecules are approximately 80 nucleotides in length. Their secondary structure includes four short double-helical elements and three loops (D, anti-codon, and T loops). Further hydrogen bonds mediate the characteristic L-shaped molecular structure. tRNAs have two regions of fundamental functional importance: the anti-codon, which is responsible for specific mRNA codon recognition, and the 3' end, to which the tRNAs corresponding amino acid is attached (by aminoacyl-tRNA synthetases). tRNAs cope with the degeneracy of the genetic code in two manners: having more than one tRNA (with a specific anti-codon) for a particular amino acid; and 'wobble' base-pairing, i.e. permitting non-standard base-pairing at the 3rd anti-codon position.
Source: RNAcentral
AAGAAAGUGGCAGAGUGGUUAUGCGGUUGGCUUGAAACCAACAUAUGGGGGUUCAAUUCCUUCCUUUCUCG